This 380-nucleotide ribosomal RNA is filed under the name uncultured Pseudomonas sp. Its description in RNAcentral is "bacterial SSU rRNA". It matches the Rfam family "Bacterial small subunit ribosomal RNA", at positions 1003 to 1382 of the family's 1533-position model. The record is from RNAcentral. Lineage: Bacteria; Pseudomonadati; Pseudomonadota; Gammaproteobacteria; Pseudomonadales; Pseudomonadaceae.
GAGAUGGAUUGGUGCCUUCGGGAACGUCUGACACAGGUGCUGCAUGGCUGUCGUCAGCUCGUGUCGUGAGAUGUUGGGUUAAGUCCGUAACGAGCGCAACCCUUGUCCUUAGUUACCAGCACGUUAUGGUGGGCACUCUAAGGAGACUGCCGGUGACAACCGGAGGAAGGUGGGGGAUGACGUCAAGUCAUCAUGGCCCUUACGGCCUGGGCUACACACGUGCUACAAUGGUCGGUACAAAGGGUUGCCAAGCCGCGAGGUGGAGCUAAUCCCAUAAAACCGAUCGUAGUCCGGAUCGCAGUCUGCAACUCGACUGCGUGAAGUCGGAAUCGCUAGUAAUCGUGAAUCAGAAUGUCACGGUGAAUACGUUCCCGGGCCUU